Molecule: transfer RNA, 59 nt
Filed under: Alnetoidia dujuanensis
Lineage: Eukaryota; Metazoa; Arthropoda; Insecta; Hemiptera; Cicadellidae
Description: tRNA-Arg
Source: RNAcentral
AAAGAAGUAAAAUUUACAUUUAGUUUCGACCUAAAAAUAAGGCAUAACCCUCAUGUUUU